GUCCACGCCGUAACGAUGGGUGCUAGGUGUAGGGUGGUCGACUCCUCUGUGCCGAAGCUAACGCAUUAAGCACCCGCCUGGGAGGUACGGCCGCAAGGCUAAACUACAAGGAAUUGACGGGGCCCGGCACAAGCAGCGGAGCAUGUGGUUUAAUUCGACGCGACGCGAAGAACCUUACCUGGGCUUGACAUGCACGGGAAUGUCGUAGAAAUACGGCAGCCCUUCGGGGCUCGUGCACAGGUGUUGCAUGGCUGUCGU
This 258-nucleotide ribosomal RNA is filed under the name uncultured bacterium. RNAcentral describes it as "partial 16S ribosomal RNA". It matches the Rfam family "Bacterial small subunit ribosomal RNA", at positions 793 to 1055 of the family's 1533-position model. The record is from RNAcentral.